UGAUGAAGUUGGAUAGUUGAAUCACAUGGUUGAAUGUUGAAUUGAAUAAUAUUGAAAUUGAACGCUGGAAUCCUGGCACGCUGCAUGGCUGCACGCUGAUUUCGUUGUGUUGUACAGUAAUUUUACGUGUUUUAUCAAUAUUAUCAGAAUCUACAUCCACUGAAGAUUGAUAUAAAAAAUUUCGACCAAAGAGUUUGGAAACUCCAAUAAUAACUUCUCAAGUGUUGGACAUCUUUCCAAGAUCCUUUCUCAUAUUUGAGAGGGAUAUCCAAUAUUCUCAAGAGGAUAUUAAAUAUCAGACAUCUAGUUUCAAGGCUCCUACCCAGACCAUACCAGGUAUAUCUACCUAGUUGGCACUCAUCUUGGUUAUUGUAUCCUACCAUCUUCAGUCUACAUAAUCAGAUGACUAUUUGUGUUGGUAUGCUAUUGCUUCCUGUUAGCAUCACCUGCUAAUUCAUCGUUGUGAUCUUCGAGUUGAUGCUCAAUCCGAACCCAUCUACAAUCUGCAAGAUUCGACCACAUCGGGCAAUUCAUCAAAUGCUUGUUUGAGUGCUGUUGAUUUCUGCAAGAAUUGUCUAUUAGUGCAUACUUCGAACGUUUCUUCAAUAAUCAACAAUAUCUUCAAGAUUCGCCCAAUCCGAUUUAUCAAUCUAAUCCAACAUCAAACCUCAACUUCAACAUCAACGUCAUUCAUCAAAUGUUCAUUUGGUAAAGAGUAAAAGAGAAAGACAAGAUGACUAGCUAUGCGGAUUUUCUUGCUGCAAUGGCAAAAGACCCUGAGAAACUUGAGUCAGAAAUUCAGGCCUUUACUGAUAAGGUGUCGAGUCACGUGAAUAAGCGUUUUGUGGAAGAACUUGAGGCCUCCUUCUCAUAUAAAACAUUUGUUGCCGAAUCAAAGGUUGGUGUUCCCAAUAGGCUGGGUGGGUCUGGGAACACCUGCUCCCGUGCGGGGAGGGGGGCAAGCUCCCAGGGAGGGGGGCGCACAGCAAACAAAAAUGAAUAGAGAAGAGAAAACUGUGUUGAAGCAAAUUAAGCUACCUCAAGCAAAUCGUGACAUGGUGCUAUGGACAAUCAUGUGAAUUCAAUUAUGCAGAAGUGAUUUAAUUAAUUAUAUUCAUAAUUAUUACACUAGAGGGCUUGAUUUUUCCUGAAAACAACAACAGAGAGUUUCUCACAUCCAGGGAGUUGUUUUUUAACUGGUGAAAAACCAGUCCAUCUUAAUGGUCCCAAAUCCAUUAUAAUGGAUUGUUUUUAUUCCAUUCAAGUGAUCCAAGUUGUACAUGUAACUUGUUAAAAUGUAGCAGCUUUUAAUCGGGCAGAAAUACUUUCCACAGUUCUUAUGAAAAAAAAAGAUGAGUCCUUUCCUUUCAGCAUUUUUUCAUUACUUAGCUGGAAAUCUCCAAAAGUAGAUUUCGUAUGCGUUUCACUCUUUUAGCUGUUAGACUUAUAAAAUCCCUUGCAGACUUAUAAAAGCCUGUCUGCAUAACUCGCACCUACUCGAGCCAAUCAUUACAUGAUAAGUGAAGUUAUUAUUUCUGACAGGUUCUUUAUUUUAUACCUGUUCACGUUUCACAUUUUCAGCUAUGAUUAAACUUUGUAGAAACAUAUCUUGCUUAUUUUUGUUGGAUAUAUCUAACGAUUUGCUGUGUAUAUCAAUUUUUUCAUCAGAAAUAAUUUUAUAUUAUUUCCUCAUACACUUGCAAGACUCACCCGUGGUAAUAGCUGCCACAGCCUUACCUUUUUAAUUAUAACAAUAAGCUUCUCCAUGCACUCGGGAAUAUUUGAUUUUACUCCGUUGAUAAUCCUGUUUAUUCCUUGUUUUUUUCUAUUUUUUCAGUACAAUCACUCAUCCUUGAAGAUUCAACAAAUAGGCCUAAACAAAUCACAGCUAGGCUAAAUUAUUCGUAUAAUGUCAAUUUUUGAAAAGUUAUUGUCAAUUUGUAAAACAAAAGAAAACUGGUAAAAAUCACAGUAACAAUAAUAACCUGCAGUAUAUAGGUUAGUGAUAGGUUGUUCUAUUUUACCAUGUCUUUCAGUACCGUACAUUUAUUCAUCCUUGAAGAUUCAACAACUUCACAAAUCACAGCUAAAUUAUUUGUAAAAAAUCAUUUUGUACAAAAAUUGAUAAAAAGAAAACUUGUAUAACUCUUAGUAACAAUAAACAGCAACCGCACUUUGUAAUUUAGUCACAA
This is an RNA transcript of Nilaparvata lugens (brown planthopper), 2192 nucleotides long. It is a transcript of the gene named probable RNA-binding protein EIF1AD, with no coding region annotated. Lineage: Eukaryota; Metazoa; Arthropoda; Insecta; Hemiptera; Delphacidae. The record is from RefSeq and is a predicted model, not a curated record. The transcript has 6 exons.